This 37865-nucleotide long non-coding RNA is filed under the name Gossypium barbadense (sea-island cotton). RNAcentral describes it as "long non-coding RNA (GBAR_LNC006866)". Lineage: Eukaryota; Viridiplantae; Streptophyta; Magnoliopsida; Malvales; Malvaceae. The record is from RNAcentral.
CCUCACCCACCUACUGCAGAUUCACACUUUACCUCGCAGUUUUUAGGUACAGCUCGAUUAUCCUCUUCACCUACUCUGGGCAUAGAAGGCUUGGGCAUCCCUGUUCCUUUGUUCUUGAGGUUGUUAUGCGCAAUUGUAACAUUCCUUUUGCUAGGAAAAAUAUAUCGAAUGUUUGUUCAGCUUGCCAGUUAGGCAAUGCACAUAAGCUGCCCUUUAAUGCUUCUAGCACAGUGUACUCAAAACCUUUUGAAUUAGUAGAAUCUGAUAUUUGGGGUCCUUCCCAUAUUAAAUCAAAUGGUUUUCUCUAAUAUGUUUCGUUCGUAGAUAUGUACAGUAGAUAUACCUGAGUCUACUUUCUAAAGUCAAAAGCAAAAGUGUUUCAGUGUUUUCUACAGUUCAAUCAAAUGGUCCGUGUUCAGUUUGGUGGUUCCAUUAAAAUGCUUCAGUCUGACUAGGGAGGCGAAUAUCGUUCACUAUCUCAGGAACUAGCUAGUCUUGGCAUCAAGCAUAGGGUUACUUGCCCUCAUACUUCAGAGUAAAACAGGGUGAUUAGAAGAAAGCAUCGACAAAUAGUUGAUAUGGGACUGACACUUCUAGCUCAAGCAGGUUUCUCUUUGUAAUUCUGGUCAUAUGCUUUUGCACAUGGUAUUUACUUGAUUAAUAGGUUGCCAACACCUGUUCUAAAACAAUGAAGCCCUUAUGAAGUGUUGUAUAAAGUAAAACCAUCUUACUCAUAUUUUAAAGUGUUUGGCUGUACCUGUUAUCCGUGUUUGCGACCUUAUCAUCCCAAAAAACUACAGUUUCGGUCCAGUUUAUGCAUUUUUCUUGGUAUUGGGCUAAAUCAAAAAGGCUAUAGGUACCUUGACAGGAGUGGUCAAAUGUUUGUCUCUCGGCAUGUUACAUUUGAUGAGGACCAUUUUCUAUUCCAACAUGAGUUCUCUUCUGAGAGGCCAGCCCGGGUAGUUCAUCAUCAGUCUGCUCUUCCUAUGGUGGUCAAAGGCUUUUCUCUAGAAUAUAAUAUCUUGGCACAUGAGGUAGGUCCUGGUCGGUCACCAUCUGUUGUGGAUUCUUCAGUUCAACAGACUGCUUCUCCACUAUCUCCAGGCUCCUCUCUGACUCCUGGUCUCUUGGCACAUACAUCUGGUCCUGAUCAAUCAUUAGUUGUGCCUGGUUCUUGUCCUUCUCCAACAUGCUCCUCGUCUCCUUCCAGGUAGAUUCAGCCUAUUGUUAAUACACAUCUGAUGCAGACUCGGUCCAAAAGUGAGAUCUUCAAGCCCAAACUAUUUACUUCUGCCCUCUCUGAUCAUGAGCCUACUUCUAUUGUUGAAGCACUUCAAAGCCCUACGUAGACAGCAGCUGCUCGUGCUGAAUACACUGCAUUCUUUGCCAACCACACUUGAGACCUUGUGCCUUUACCUGCUGGAAGAAAAGCAGUGGGUUACAAGUGGAUUUUUAAAGUCAAACGCAAUGUUGAUGGGUCUGUCGCUUGGUACAAAGGGAGAUUGGUGGUCAAGGGAUAUCUCCAAGAAACUGAUAUUAAUUUUCGAGAUACUUUUAGCCCUGUUGUUAAGCCGACAACUAUUCGAGUGAUGUUGGCUCUUGCUGUCUCGUUUGGGUGGUCCCUUCUCCAAGUUGACAUCAACAAUGCUUUCCUGAAUAGUGAUUUAAAAGAAGAAAUUUACAUGGUUCAACCAUCAGGGUUUCAACAACAAGGGGACAAGGGUCAACAGUUAGUGUGUCGAUUGAGGAAAGCACUCUAUGGCCUCAAACAAGCCCGUCAGGUUUGGUUUCAUAAGCUUAAGGAAUUUCUAGUGGCUACUAGGUUUGUUGCCUCUAAAGCUGACACUUCUCUCUUCGUUUACCAAUCAGGUUCCCAACUCAUGUAUGUUUUAAUCUAUAUAGAUGACAUUAUAAUUACAGGGAACAACAACCAAGCUAUAGAUCAGUUUGUGCGGCAGCUUGAUGAGACUUUUUCAUUAAAAGAUCUUGGUCGCCUUAGCUACUUCCUAGGCAUUGAAGUCCAGUACACCACCACUGGUUUAUUUCUUAACCAAAGGAAGUACAUACUGGAUCUGUUGCGACGAGCGUAUAUGGAGGGAUCUAAAGCUACACCUACACCUAUGACAACAACAUGUCAGUUGUUCGCCAGUGAAGGACAACCUGUUGCAUAUGCUCAUGUGUACAGGAGCAUUGUAGGGGUACUGCAGUAUGUGGUGAUUACCAUACCCGACAUUGCCUUUGCCGUCAACAAAGUGUGCCAAUUCAUGCACAAUCCUUUGGACAUCCACUUCAAAGCUAUCAAGAGAGUCCUACAUUAUUUGCAUGGGACCUUGGAUCUUGGACUACAGUUUAUAAAGAGCUCGAAGCUCUUGCUUGAAGGGUUUUCAGAUGCUAGCUGGGGUCUGACAUUAAUGAUCGCCAUCACACAUCUGGUUACUGUGUUUUUUUUGGAGGAAGUCCAAUUUCCUUGAGCUUUAGGAAACAGCAGGUGGUCUCUCGGUCGACUGCCAAAGCUGAAUACAAAAGUCUCGCCCAUGUUACUGCUGAGAUGGUGUUGAUCUAGUCGUUGUUGAUCGAGUUAGGUGUUUCUCCUUGUGGCAAAGCACUAGUGUGGUGUGACAGUUUAACAGCCGUGGCAGUUGCAGGAAACCCAGUCAUGCACUCGAAAUUCAAGCACGUGGAAUUAGACCUCUUUUUUGUGAGGGAGAAGGUUGCACAAGGCUUAUUUCAGGUGGGUCAUGUACCAAGCCAAGAGCAGUUGCAGACAUGCUGACCAAACCUUUAGCAGCAAGUCUGUUCAACAAGUUUCGAAAUCAGCUUCGAGUGACAACUGGUCAAGUUACUAUAGUUGAGAAGAAAGGAACAAGUUCGGGGCAUGUUAGGGUUAAGGAGUUAGAAAUUAGUCAGUUAGCUAAAGCAAUUGUUAACUGUCAAGUUAGUUAGUGCUAUUCUCAUUCUCUUCCAUCUAUUAAAGACUUGUACUCUCACAUUAAUGAAUAGUGAAAGUAGUAUGAAGUUUAUUCAGCUUCUAGUGUGCUCUUGACAAUACGGAAAAAUAGAACAACAUAGUUUACGUGAGAAUUUACAAGGAGAGAAAUAAAAUCAAUUCAUGUUAACUCAAUUUGAAUUCAUCAAUUUUGCAUCUCCGAAGCCUAAGGGCAAAGCCAGAAAUUAUUUUGGGAGAGGCGGAAUUAAAUUGUAUAUUUUUACGAUUACUUAUAUAUAUAUUAUUUUUAUAAUUUUGGAGGUAAAGUGCAAUUUUACUAUUACUAAUUUAAAAUUUUAUAAAUUAUAAAGGGGCCUAAAUAAAAAAAAUCAUUUUAAGGGGGCCAAGGCCAUUGCCAACCCCCUAGCUUCACCAUUAACAGAGUCUCUGUAAUGACCCAAAAUUCAUGGGUAUCGAAAAAGUGCAAUAUCGGGCCUCUGUCUUAGUAAACUGAAUUAGUAAAUAAUUAUUAGGAGUAAUUAGGAGCCUAAUAGUGAGCUUAAUUAAGUUUUAAAUAAGUGAAUUUAGCUUAAUUAAUAGUAAUUAGGAAAAAAAGACUAAAUUGAAUAAGGGGUAAAAGUCUAACUAUAGAUUAAAAAGGAAAUAACAAGGACGCAAUAGGCAAUUAAGCCUAUUUGGGAAGAUGAGGCGGCAAAAUAGAGUAAAAAUCUAAGAUUUUUACUCAAACAAUGAUUAUAUAAAUAUUUAAUUUAGUUAUAAAAUUUUAUUAAAUCAAUUUAAAAUAAUUAGAUUUUUAUAUGAUAAAUAAAAUAUGAUUUUGACAAGUGGAUGGUGAUAACAAUAUACAAAUGUAAUAAUAAUAUGUAUACAAUUGUAACAUAAAUAUUUAAUUACUUUUUAUUUAAGUAAAUAGAUAUUUAUUACUUAUUAUUAUUAAGCUAAAAGAUAUUUAUUAAUUAAAUAAUUAUAUUAUAAGAUUUUUAUGUGAUAAAUAAAUUAAAUAAUGACAAAUGUAUGGAGAUGAGACCAUACAUUUAUAAUAAAUAUAAAUAUGUACACUUGUUAUAUAAUUAUUAAUUUACUUAAUAUUAAAGUAAAAGAUAUUUUAAUAUAUGAUAUUAAUAUUAUAUUAUGUUAAUAAAAUAAUAAAGCAUAAAAGAAAUAAGAAACAAAGAUAGAAAAGAAGAACAAAAUAACAAACAGGAAAGAAAGGAAGAAAAGGGGAAAGAAAAAAAGAAAAGGAAAAACUAGGGAUUUGAAGCUUUAAGCUUUAAAAGUUAAUAAGGAACCCGAGGCAUCGGCAUCGAAAGGAAAGAAAAAAGUUGUUGAGGAGUAAACGAAUAAAUUCGGGUUUGUAUUACUAUAAUUCAAGUUAUUCAUUAUUUAAUGUUUAUUUUGAUAUUUAUAUUUAAUAAGUAAAUAUGACAGAAGUAUUAGUAUUGAAUUGUAUGAAAUAAAAUUGAAUUGUGAUUAUAUGUGAAUAAUUGAAAUGCAUAUUGAAUUAAGAAAGUAUAUUGAAUUAUGAAUAUGUGAAUUGAAAAUUGAUUGAAAAGUGGAAAAUGAUUGAAUUGAAAAUGUGAGAAAUUGUGACUGAAUUGAGAUUUAUAUGUGAUUCGGAAACCCUAUUAACUAAUCAGGUUGAGUCGGAUAUAGUUGGCAUGCCAUAGGAUUGGAAGUGUUCAAGGAUACUUCGACCUCGAGUCGAUGGUGUCACUAUUUUACUUCGGAUAGAUUCGAUGAGGUACUGGGUACCACUUUACUUUGGCUCUACCGAUGAGACACUGGGUGUCAACUUUGCUUCAAACUAUCCGAUGAGGCACUGCGUGCCAAACUGAUGUGUUUGGUUGGAUAUGUGUAUCCGCCAAAGUCCGAGUUUGUUAAUAGGGGUAAUUAAAGGAAAAGUUAAACUGAAUAAAAUAAAUUGGUUGAGCCAUUGAAAGAAAUGUGAAAAUGGAAUGUGAAUUAAAAAAAAUAUGAUUUGACUGUGAGUAUGAGAAUGGAAAGCAUGAACCAAUGGUUCAUGAGAUGGAUAAUGGCUCAACAUGAAUGUAUAUGAUUUCAAUUGUUGAUUAGCUAAAUUGAAUUGUAUGAAUAUAUUGAGAAUGACAAAUUUAUAUUUGACUUGGUCUAGUAAAAAAAUAAAAUAAAAUAAAAUAAAAUAAAGUUAUAUGAUUUAAUGAUAUGAUUAUUAUUGUAGCGACAUAAAAUUUUUGCUUUGGUCGCUAAUUGAGGCGAUUUAUUGAAAAUUUGAAAACCGACUUUUGAUUUUAUUUAAAAAGGGAGUCGUCACCGAUCCUUUUUCCUAGGUGUGAUCGGACACCUAAUAAAUCCUCUUUUUUUAAAAGAAAAUUUAUUUUUAAACAAAAAGAAGGCCGAGUUUAGGUCUACGCGAAAAUCCAGAGAAAAAAAGGGUUCGGGAGUCGGUUACGCACGAGGAAGGUAUUAGCACCCUCGCGAUGCCCAAAAUUGGUAUAUUGUUAAACAUGUGUUGUCUUAAUUUUCGAAAAUGCGAGUUCAAUGUAACAUUUAAUCAUUAUUCGAGCAAAACACGAGAAUUUUUAUAAUUUCGAUUUCUUUUGAGAAGGAUGUUCCGUUUUUAACACGAGCCGAUGGUAUUCACCCAAUAUAGCGAUGAAAUCAACGACUUAAUGUUAAAUCGGCACGUUGCCUUAUUUAUUGAAAUUAAUAAAAAAUGAAUAAAAUAUUUCUUAAAAUAAAAAUUCAUAAAUAAAUAAACAGUGCAAACAAUGAUAUAAUGAAUGAAAAAUAUUAACAUAUAAUAUAAGAGCAUUAGGAUAAAAAUAAAAACAAUAUUUACAAUAAAAAGAAAAUAAUAAUAAAAAUAAUGAUAUGCUAAUAAUAUAAUAAGAAAAACAAACUGAUACAGAAUGGGUAAGAACAAAAAUAAAAGAGUUAGAAAUACAUCGAAGCAAAUAAUAAAUACGACAAUGAUAUUAAAAACAAUAACAAUGCAUGCGAUGUUAAACGUAAUAAUGUAUUAAACACGAAAUAAAAACAAUGAAUAUAUAUAUAUACAUCUAAUAAUAGUUAGUAAAGUGAUGGAAACAUGAUAUUAAAAAUACUAAUAAUGUUACCUAUAUACAUAUGUAUAUAUUAAAAUAUAAAAAUAAUAAUAGUAUUAAAAAGUAUAUACAUAGUAUUAACAAUAUAUACAUAAUAUAGUUAUUAAAAAAUAUAUAAAUAAAAUAAUAUGUAAAAUAUAUAUAUAUAAUAUAGUAUUAAAAAAUAUACAUGAUAUAUAUAAAAUAUAAUAUUAAAAAGAUAUAUAUACGUAAUAUAUAUAAAAAAUGUAUACAUAAUAUAGUAUUAAAAUAUUUACAUAAUAUAUACAUAUUAGAAAUAAUAAUAAUGUUAAAAACAACUAUCAAUAAUACUACAUAAAUAUAUACAUAUAUAUAUUAAAGAUAUAUGCAUAUAUAAUAAAACAUAUACUAAUAUUAAUAACAAAUAUAAUAGGGGUAAAUAGAUACAAUAAUAAUAUGUAUAUAACGUGAUGUUAAAAAUAUGUGUAUAAUAUAGUAUUUAAAUAUAUAUACAUAAUAUAUAUAUUAGGAAUAAUAAUAAUAUAAAAAAACAACUAUAAAUAUAUACAUAAAAUAUAUAUAUAAGUAUUAAUUGAAACUAAAAAAUAAUUCUAAUAAUAGUAAAAAUAUACUAAUAAUAAUGAUAAUAACGAUAAUAGUAAAUAUAAUAAUAAAUAAUAUUAAAAAUAAAAAAUGGUAAAAAUAAUAUAAAAACAAAUUAAAUUUGGAAAAAGGACUAAAUUCGAAACAAAAUGAAGUUUUGGGGCCAAUUUAAAAAGAAAUAAAGGGAAAGGGAUUAAUUUGGAUGCGCGCAAAACAAAGGAGGACUAAAAAAAAAUUAUUCCUCCCCUCAAAACGCAACACAGCAAGAGGGACUAAAUCGCAAAGCGCUAUAUACUUUGGGGCCAAAUUAAAAGCACAAUAAAUCUAAUUGCAAAACUAUAAAAAAGCGGAGGGGCUAAAAGUGCAAUUAGCCCCUCCAGUGAAAAACACGCGAAUCCUUGGUGGAGCGGGUCAGGUCGGGUCAGGCAAAACAACGUCGUUUUGGGGUUUAAUGGCCAACCCUAAAACGACGUCGUUUUGGGGGCUAUUUAAAUCUGAUUUCUUUUAAAAAAUUCAUUCUUCCUCUGUUCUAAAAAUUUUUUUUUCUCUCCUCCUCUCAUUUUCCUCUACAGAGACCCCUAACGCCGGUGAAGACUCCGGCCAGUCACCACUGUCAGCCAUCGUCACCGGCCACCGCGCAUGGUGGCCGGAAAUUAUAAAAGGUAAAUUUUUUUAAUUUUUUUAUUAUGUUUAUAUAUAAAUAUGUAUAUACUGUUUUUUUGAAAAAAAAAGAAAAAAAUAUAUGUAUGUAUAGUCGAAUACCGAAAAUAAAAAAGGAAAAGAGAUGAGACCUUAGCCUUUGGAAUCUGUUUUUUUUUCUCUUCAAUACUUGCUGGAUUUUCUUUGUUUUUUUGAGACUAUUAUGUGCUAAAAAUGAAAUUUAUUGUUUUAUUGCUUCCUCCAAAAAAUCUCACCUCGUUACAUGAUUUUUGAAUGGCCUUUUUAUAGCCAUCCUUUUACAAGUUGUUGUUUGUUUUUAAUCUUUCUAUCACUUCUGUUGUAGGUGGAUGAGGUCAACGGUGGCAGAGUUGGUGGUGGCAGGUGGAGCAGGUGGCUGACAAGGCUAGGGUGGCGGCAUGGCAGAGGCAGUGGCUAGGGUUUUUUGAUUUGUUUUGUGUAUUAAGGUUUUGGGCUGGCUUAGUGGGCUUAGGGUUUUUAAUUAUUUGGGUAUUUUAAUUUGGGUUAGGGUAUGUUAGUUGGGUUUAUUUUAUUUUAUUCAAAAUUGGGCCUCAAUAGCUGCCCCUCUUUGCUCAUUGUCGUGUAACGGGAAUGGAGCAAAGACCUUAAAAGGGCCAAUUUUGGCCGGUCUCGCCGAGUCUUGACUUCUUUGAUGCUCCUCUUCUUCAGGUAGCCUCAUUCUAGUGUACUGUGUCUUAUAGCUUUGAUCUAUCUCACCGCAACUUCAGAGAUACGACUCGUAGCUUCACUUUGCUCGCUUCUUUAGGGGUCUGAGGUUCCUAGCCUCGAUCUACUUCACUGCUCCAUUGCAACUUCGGGGAGGCAAAAUCUAUAUAUUCGAUUAGCUCUAAUCUUUAUUCUUUAUUGAAAAACAAACAUCGAAAAUAACUCGGCAUAUAAACUGACGUUCAACUCAUCUCUCGGAUUAUGAGUUAAUUUUUGAAAAAAAAUAAAAAAAUCGAAAAUUCCUCAGUGUGUGACCUGAGGCUCAACUCACCUCUCGCAAUAUGAGGUGAUUUUUUUGAAAAACAGAGACUAAAGAUACCUCAGCGUAUGACCCGAGGCUCAACUCACCUCUCGCAAUAUGAGUUGAAUUUUGAAAAAACAGAAAUUGAAAAUACCUCGGCGUGUCUCAAGGCUCAACUCACCUCUCGUAAUAUGAGUUGAUUUUUGAAACAUAAAUUGAAAAACAGAAAUUGAAAAUACCUUAGCAUGUGAGUCGAGGCUCAACUCACCUCUCGCAAUAUGAGUUGAUUUUUUUGAUGAACAGAAAUUAAAAUUACCUCAGCGUGUCCUGAGGCUCAACUCACCUCUCGCAAUAUGAGUUGAUUUUUUUGAAAGACAGAAAUUAAAAAUACCUCAACGUGUCUUGAGGCUCAACUCACCUCUCGCAAUAUGAGUUGAUUUUUGAAAUAGAAAUAAAAACAUCAAAAUACCAAAACAUGUCAUUUGGUGGAACUCAGGUGUUUUUUCCUUUGAUUUAGUACAGCUAUUAUCACAUCCUCUUGCUCUACUGGAGUACCUGUAUAUGUCAUGCAUGAUGUUAUCAUGAUAUGCACAUGUUUGUCUUAAAUGCUUUUAUGCCUACAUGAUUAUGCUAUGCGCCUUAAGCAUGUUUGUCGUAUGUCCUUUUUUGUUACGAUUUUUGUGAUGAUCUGCGUUCAUUACUUUGGCUCUUGACUUUCUCUUUAGGCCCUGUACCCGUCCUCAAGCUUCACGAGUAAUCAACAUUUCUCAGAUAUCACUCUUUUUCCCCUGGUUAAACUUUGUCCUUAUUUUGAGACUCUUGUACUUAUCAAAUUCUUAUCCGGGUAAUGCUCAACAUUUCUUUUGUCUAGAGUAUGUCAUUUCACUAUUUAUCAUUUAAAUAAACCACAUAAUGAGAUGCAUAAAAAUGGUCAGGUAGGGACAACAGGGGUACCUCACAUUUAUUUAUUUCAAAUAUAACAAACAAAGAAAGUUAACCAAUGAUAUUAAAAAAAGUGUCAUAAAGAGAAAAGAGAUCGCAUUCAACAGAUACAAAUGCUCUAGAUAUUCAAUGCAUGAACUCUUCCACGUUUCUUAAUCAAGAAUCCUUUCAAGUGUGGCUUCUUGUGUAGAGGAUUUCGAGCUUUCAGAAAUGCUUCAAAUACUGGAGACCCAUAUUAAUUUUUAUUUGGUCCAAAAAUAUUUUAUCAUUUCUGUAUUCGCAAUUCAAUAUAGAUGGGUAUUUCAUAACAUAUAUAUGUCCCUCUUACUCUCAGUUUUCUCAGGCAAUUUGGUGGAAUACUCGAAGGGUCGAUUCUUUUUUUCGUCUUAGCUUCUGUCUUUAUGAAUGAAAACAAAAGAAAGGAGUCUCUCAUUAUGAUCUGGAUUUCAUUUCUAUGGGUUGCAUCUUUUUUUCUUUAAUUUCAUUUUUAUUCUUAUCCUUUUAUUAGACUAUCCUAUAUAACCAUAAUAACUAAAAAAAUAAAAAUGAAAAUUGAAUUUAUUCAUUAUUAAAAAUGAAAAUGAAAUUCAUUAUUUUUUUUUAUAGUAUAAUAGCUAGAACUAAUUAUUUAUAUUUACCGUCUUGCUCUUUAAGCCCGGGUUUACUCCAUUAAGAAGCCCUUUUGGGUUUUCAUCCUAAUCUUUUGUGUUAAUCAAGACGCUUUUUUCGGGUUUUCACCUUGAUCUCACUUUUUUUAGGCAUAAUAUUUCUUUACAGCAUCUGAGUUAACUAGGUUAGGUAACUCUUUCUCAUCCAUCUCAGUGAGAAUCAAAGCUCCACCCGAGAAUGCCUUCUUUACGACGUAUGGUCUUUCCCAAUUUGGUGCCCAUUUUCCUUGCAGGUUUUUUUGUAUUGGGAGAAUCUUUUUCAGCACGAGUUCCCCUUCGUGGAAUUCUCUUGGCUGUACUUUCUUGUCAUGGGCCGCGAUCAUUCUCUUCUGGUACAUCUGUCCGUGACAAAUUGCCUUUAGACGUUUUUCCUCGAUGAGGUUCAACUGGUCAUAUCGAGCUCGAACCCAUUCUGCUUCCUCUAGUUUCGACUCCAUUAAGACUCGUAGAGAGGGGAUCUCAACUUCGAUAGGUAGCACAGCUUCCAUUCCAUAGACCAGAGAGAAAGGAGUUGCUCCCGUAGAUGUCCGCACAGAUGUGCGAUAUGCAUACAAAGCAAAUGGUAGCUUUUCGUGCUAGUCUUUAUAAGUAUCGGUAAUUUUCCCAAUAAUCUUUUUAAUAUUCUUGUUGGCCGCUUCAACAGCUCCGUUCAUUUUCAGGCAAUAGGGUGAUGAGUUAUGAUGCUUUAUUUGAAAUUGCUCACACACUUCUUUCAUCAUCUUGUUGUUCAGAUUCAAGGCGUUAUCUGAAAUGAUUCUUUCAGGCAAACCAUAUCGACAAAUGAUUUCUUUUUUCAAAAACCUGCAAACUGUAGUCUUCGUCAUAUUGGCAAACGAAGCGGCUUCUAAACAUUUUGUGAAGUAAUCAAUAACCACAAAAAUAAACCGUUGUCUAUUAGAAGCUUUUGGGGAAAUUGGCCUUAUAACAUCCAUACCCUACAUAGAAAAAGGCCACGGAGAAGUCAUUACAUGAAGGGGCAAAGGGACUACAUGAAUCAUAUCGCCAUAAAUUUGACAUUUGUGGCAUUUUCUUGCAUAACUAAUGUAGUCACUUUCCAUCAUCAGCCAGUAAUAAUCGAGUCUCAUAAUCUUCUUGGCCAUAGUGAAACCAUUUGCAUGUGUCCCACAAAUUCCCUCAUGGACAUCUUCAAGUAUUUUUCUAGCUUCAAUAUCAUCUACGCAUCUCAAGAGCACUUUAUCUUUUCCUCUUUUGUAUAGGAUGUCCCCAUCAAGAAAAAAUCCCACUGACAUUCUUCUGAUUGUUCUUUUAUCAUUCUCAUUUGCUUAUUCGGGAUACUUUUGAUUCUUGACAUAUUCUAAGAUAUCAUGGAACCAUGGCCGUCCAUCUGGCUCUUUCUCAAUGCUGAAACAAUGUGCAGGGACUUCAUAUAUGCUCAUUUGGAGAUGCAUUAUUUCUGUUUCUCUGUUCGCUUUGAACAUUGAGGCCAAAGUGGCCAGGGCAUCAGCCAAUUGGUUUUCUUCUCGUGGGAAGUAAUUAAAAGUUAUUUCUUUGAAUUCUUUAAUCAGCCCUGCCACUAGAUCGCUGUAUUUGACUAAUUUCGAAUCUCUCACUUCCCAAUCUCUACGGAUUUGCUAUAUCACCAACGCUGAGUCCCCUUACACUUCUAAGAUUUUGACUCAAUAGCUGCACGAAGUCCCAUUAUACAGAUCUCAUAUUCUACUAUGUUAUUGGUACAGAAGAAAUUCAACCUGGCAGUGAACGGAUAAUGGUUCCCUUCUGGGGAUACUAAGACUGCUCCAAUCCCAUGCCCCAAUGUAUUCGAUGCACCAUCAAAACUCAUCUUCGAUGACUUCUCUUGGGAUGAAUCAUAUUCUUUUCCCGUAAUGCACAUUAAGUCUUCAUCCGGGAAAUCAAAUCUCAAUGGCUCGUAUUCCUCCGUUGUUCGAGUUGCUAAGAAAUCAACUAUUGCACUCUCUUUUAUUGACUUUUGGCUCACAUAGACGAUGUCGUAUUCUGAUAGUAAGAUCUUCCAUCGUGCCAUUCUUCCUGAGAGGGCAGGUGAUUCCAUCAUGUACUUAAUUGAGUCCAGCUUCAAAAUUAACCAUGUCGUAGGAUACAACAUAUAUUGCCUAAGCCUCCGAACUACCCAAACCAAAGUGCAACAGAAUUUUUCAAUUGAUGAGUACUUUGCCUCAUACUCUGUGAACUUUUUGCUGAGAUAGUAAAUCGCCUUUUCUCUUUUCCCUGACUCAUCGUGUUGCCCCAGUACGCAACCCAUUGAAUUUUCGAACACAGUUAGAUACAAUAUUAACGGUCUUCUUGGAGUUGGAGGUACUAGCACCGAGGGACUAGACAAAUACUAUUUUAUCUUGUCAAAAGCCACUUGGCACUCUUCGUUCCAUUCUCCCAGAUUAUGUUUUCAAAGGAAUCGUAAAAUUGGGUCACACUGGUUGGUAAAUUGAGCAAUGAACCGAGCGAUGUAGUUCACCUCCCUAAAAAUCCUCUGACUUCUUUUUGCGUGCGCGGAGGUGGCAGUUCUUGUAUGGCUUUUAUCUUAUCUAGAUCAACUUCAAUGCCUCUCUCGCUGACGAUGAAGCCUAGCAAUUUUCCUGAGGUUGCCCCAAACGUGCACUUGGUUGGAUUAAGCUUCAGCUGGAACUUUCUCAGUCUCUCGAACAACUUCUUGAGGUUCUCAACAUGCUCUCUUUCCCCUUUGGAUUUAGCGAUCAUAUCAUUGACGUAGACUUCUAUUUCUUUGUGCAUCAUGUCAUGAAACAACAUCACCAUGGCCCUCUGAUAUGUUGCCCUAGUGUUCUUUAAUCCGACCGACAUCAACUUAUAACAGAAUGUUCCCCACAUCGUUACGAAAGUAGUUUUCUCCAUAUCCUCAGGAGCCAUCUUUAUCUGAUUUUAACCUGAGAAUCCAUCCAUGAACGAAAACAAUGAAUGUUUGGCGGUGUUAUCCACCAAUGUAUCGAUGUGUGGCAAAAGAAAAUUAUCUUUAGGACUUACUCGAUUCAGAUCAUGAUAAUCCAUACACAUUCGCACGUUGCCAUCUUUCUCCGGUACUGGGACUAUGUUAGCUACCCAUUGUGGGUACUUAGAGACUUGUAGGAAGUCGAAUUAUUUCUUGACUUCUUCUUUUAUCUUUAACAGUAUUUCAGGUCUCAUUCGUCUUAGCUUCUGUUGAAUGGGUUUGCAUUCUGGUUUCAGUGGGAGCCUAUAGACCACUACAUCCUUAUCCAAUCCUGGCAUCUCCUGAUAUGACCAUGCAAAUACAACUUUGUACUCAUGAAGCAAAGUGACCAAAUCAUGUUUGGUGUUAUCUGAAAUGGAAGUCCCAAUCUUCACUUCUUGCCUCUUUUCUUCAUUUCUCAAGUUUACUAUCUCAACAGAUUCUUGAUGAGGUAGAAUCUGUUUAUCUUCUUGUUCUACCAUUCUUAGUAAGUCAGGAGAUGAGACAUAGUCUUCAGUAUUUUCCUCAGCUUCAAACUCUCCUAAACAAAUAGCCUUCUCGAAAUCGAUUUCAAGAUUUGUAACGAGUUUGUUCAUAUCGUUGAUAUCCGAGCACUUGAAAGUUGAAUGGAAAAGAAAAAUGUAGAGGAGCAUCAAAGUAUUGGGACCAACAAGCAUGGCAUGAUGUGAGAUAUAUGCAAUGAUAGGCUGUGUGAAGAGGGAAAAAAUUAUGAAUUUAAUGAGAAUGAAAGGACCAUGACAAAAUACAUCUCCAUUAAUGUUCAUUUAAAUGAUAAAGAGCAAACAUAAGCUCUUACAAAAGAAUUCCACUAUUACUUGGGGACACACAAAAUGAAUAGUGUUAACAUUGAGCAUUACUCUGGAAGAGACUUAGAAACUGCAAGGAGAUCCACAACAGUCCAAUUGUUCAAAACGAAUCCAGGAAGACAAGGGCGUAUCAUUGAAACAUCUUUAAUUGCAUCAUUUUUUUUAUCAAUGACAUUUAUACUGACAUUCGAAAGACCCCUUUCAAUUAAUAGUAGCGUGUUUCGUGGAUUAUCUUGCCCGGAGUAUAUCAUUCCUGCAGAUGUAAAUGUUUUUGACAAAGGAAGAUACGUUAUGGGCUCCCAUUCUAAUUCUCGGCCUAAGGCUCUUGCAAUCCGCCUUUCUCAAUCUUUCUAUAACUGUUUUCUUCUUUGUCGCAUAUCUGGCUGGAACCCUAAACCAUAUUGAGCCUUAUGAGGCACGGGUUUUAGAGCUCUAACUAUCCCUUGCUGAUAUCUUCCCAAACCUUUCCUCGCUCGGGCUUCCUUUAUCACAAUCAGUUUAAUUCUCAUCUUGGUAUUCCUUGACAGCUUAGGCAUAGGAAUCUUAUUUCCUUCAGCAACGAACAUAGCAUUGAUGAAUUCAAAGGAACGGAAGGAACAUUCUACUGCAUCCUUGCUUAUUUCAAGGUAUGGUGUAUCCGCAGAGAUAGAUGCAACAAUGUCUUCCUCACCUACGACAGUGACCAAAAGUCCAUCCAUGAUAAACUUCACUUUUUGAUGGAGAGAUGAAGGAACUGCCCCAGCAGAGUGGAUCUAAGGCCUUCCUAAAAGGCAAUUAUACGAAGGUAUGAUGUCCAUGACCUGAAAAUCGAUGUCAUAUAUAUAGGGGCCCACUUCUAGAGGAAUUUUAAUUUUUCCCAUGACUUCUCGUCUUGUCCCAUCGAAUGCUUUUACUAUAGAGUGAUAAGGCCUCAGAUAGGAUAAAUCAAUUGGAAUUCUAGAAAGCGUAGCCAAAGGCAUGACAUUGAGUGCUGACUCGUUAUUAAUGAGCACAUUCGGUAUUAUAUAACUCUUACAACGGGUUGUGAUAUAUAAUGCUUUUACGGAGCCCCUACCAUUUGGCGGUAUUUCAUCAUCACUAAAAGAAAUGAAAUUAUCCGCGUUCAGGUUAUUCACCCACCUAUUAAGCUUUUCGACAGAUAUAUUGCUUGCUACGUAAGCUUGAUUUAACACUUUCAGCAAAGCAUUCCGAUGUGGUUCUGAAUUCAACAGUAGGGAUAAUACUGAGAUUCGUACCGGUUGUUUGCUUAACUAUUUCACGAUGUUAUAUUCACUAUGCUUGAUGAACUUCAAGAAUUCAUGUGCUUCCUCUUCAUUCACAGGCCUUUUAACUUCUUGUUCGGAAGGAGUCUCAAGUUCAACCUCGGCCUCCUGCAUCGGUGCCUUUCCUUUCUGCUUCAAGUCAUUAGUCUUCUUUAUUGGUUCGACCACUUUAGAAUAACACCUCCCGCUACGGGUGAAAUGUCUUACUUUUCCAAUAUUUUCGGUCGUGACUUUGGAUUUUUCACCUUCAGGUAUGAUAAUGUUGACAUCAUAUUUCCAUGGUACUGCCUUGUUGUCUUUGUAAGGGAACAGAGAUGAUAAUUCAAUUAUCAUUUUUGGUUUCACUUGCUCCUUUUUUGCAUCGUAAUAAAUCACCAAUGGUCGAUUGGCGCUAUAAGGGAAACUUCAUGAUUGAUUGUUAGAAGCGCAUACUUCUCCCUCAUCGGCCUCUUUGUUAAAGAUCUCAAUCUCCUUAUUAUCCAUCAUAUCUUGAAGUAACUUUCUAAAUUCCUCACAAGACUGAAUGUCAUGCCCUUCAAUACCAUGGAAGCCAUAAAAACAUUGACUUUUUAUACUUCCUUCUUUAAAAAUUCUGCAGGGGCGACAGAACAGCCCAUUUUCAACCAUCACCUUCCAUAUCUUCUGUAAAGGUGUCUUUAUUUCAGAAACGCAGCUUUUGGUUUGCCACUUGUCUUCCUUGGUCAUUGCGUUCACAUUCCCUUCAGUAUAGUUAGGGAGCGGAUUUCCAAUUCUAUUGCUAGUACCAUUAAAUCGUAAGAUGUCUGCAUCAAUGAGGCCUUGAACCCUCCUUUUAAAUGCCAGACAAUUUUUGUAGAAUGCCCCUGGUUUCCGACGUGGUAUAUGCAACUGGCAUUAGGAUCGUACCAUUUUGGGUAUGGAGGCUUCAAGGGUGCCAUAUAAUGUGGGGAUAUUAAUUAUUUUUCCAACAGUUUUGGGUACAACUCUCCAUAUGACACGGGAAUUGGGGUGAACUGGGGUUUUUCAAGAUUGGAUCUUGUCGGUCUUUGUUCAUUUUUAGGUUGGAUUUGAGCUGGCAUGGUAUUCUGUGGGAACAUAGUGACUAGUCUUUAGUUAUUUGUGGCGUAGACGGGGUAAGAAGGGUAAUGAGGUGGUGCUUGAUAGUAAGGGCUUUGGGGAGGAUAAUAGAAGUUUGGAGGUGGGCGAUAUCGAGGUCGUGACUGGGUUGGAUACGGAUUAGAAGUGUAGUAAUUCUCAGUUCCCACCAUAUAGGCUUCUGCCUCUUUUUUCUUUACAAGUGCUGCCAUUUUCGAGCUCUCGGAACCUUCCAUCUUUCCAGUUUUGAUGGUAUUUUCUAUAAGUUCCCCGGAUAUUACAAUAUCUGCGAAGUCUUUCGUGGCACUUCCUACCAACUUAUCAUAAAACGGUACUUUCAAAGUGUUGAUGAAGAGGACCGUUAUUUCAGUUUUGGUCAAUGGGGGUUCUACUUGGGCCGAGAUAUCCCUCCAUCUUUGCGUGUAUUGCCUAAAAGUCUCCGUUGGCUUCUUUUCCAUCAUCUGCAGAGUUAGUCGAUCAGGCACCAUGUCGGAUACAUACUUGUAUUGUUCACAAAAUGCUAAUGCCAAGUCUUUCCAUGAUUAGAUCCUUUCUCUACUAAGUUGAUUAUACCAUCAAAGGGCUGAUCCGACCAAGCUAUCUUGGAAACAGUGUAUUAGCAAUUUAUCUUCAUUCACGUAACCAGUAAUCUUCCGGCAAAACCUGACAAGGUGUGCCUUUGGACAUUUCGUUCUAUCAUAUUUUUCAAAAUCGAGCACUUUAAAUUUUGGAGGCAGAACCAGAUCGGGCACCAAAUUGAGCUCUUUGGCACUCAAUGCAGAGAAGGCUUCAGUACCUUCUAUCGCUUUAAGUCUUUCUUCCAAACUCCUAUACUUAUCUUGAACAUCAUGAUCAUCUAUUUUCAACCUGGCUAUUUCUAUCGGGUCAUCCAAAUCUGAAACAUUGGGAUCAGCAAGAUUAGCUCCUGGGUUUGAUACGAAUGUACCUUGACCUAGAUGAGUAGGUGGUACAAUUUGUUGCUCGAGGCUUGUAGGUUCCCUUUGAGGAUAUUCUCUUUGCGUUGUGUGUGCAUGAGGUGGAGUGAAUCCUGGGGGAUAGAGUGGAUCCUGAUCAUGAUUAGUUCUUGGCUGAGGCUCCAUAGUGUCAGGGUUCUGUAUAGGUUCCUUUCCUUUGACCAAAGCUGUAAUCAUUUCCAUCAUUUUGGCCAUCUAAUCUCUUUGUUCGAGCGAUUCCUCUCGAGAUCUUAACAUCAAAUCUCUUGCUUCCUGUUGUGACUUGGUCAAUUACUCUUGCAAUUCUCUUUGGGCCCUUUUCAUCCUUUCAAUUCUUUCAUUGAACUAGGCUUCCAUAAAUCUAGCUUUUCGGCGCGUCCUAUAAGAAUGGCGUGAUUUUAGACUUGUAGUGUCACAACUGCGGAUUAUACAGUUUUAGCCACAGUGAAUGAUUAUGGUGAUAUGUACAUGCAAUGAAUGAAUGAAUGAAUGAAUGAAAAAUGAAUAUUGAAUAAAUGACGAAUGAAUGUUAGUCAUGAAUAAAUAUGCAAGAAUUUGGUGUUGAUUUCAAGAUAGCCCCAUACUUAGGCAUUUCAUUUAUCAAAAGAGUCUAUUACAAAACAUUUCGCCAUUUUUUUUAUUCAACAGUUACACAAAUUUCCUAGCCACAUUGCCUUGUUUCUUCCCUCGCUCUAAGAACUCUGACAUGUUUGAUCUUUAGCUCGGAGGGAAUUGGCAACUGAAAGCUUCGGCUUCAUCUGAUAAUUGCACAACUUGCAUAGCUGCCCUGCGAAUUUCAUUGAUCAAAAAGCCGAGUUGCAUUUCUUUUUCUUGGAGAGCUCUUUCAUAAGUGUGAGUGUCUCCGUCAUACUGAUCAUUCUUUUCUUCUAGAGCUUUUAGAAGAGUAUCUAACUAUUGCUGAUGAGAUUGCAGCAUAUUUUCUAGAUCUUGUAUUUUCCUUCUUAGCUUUUGACGUUCGGACUGACUAGUCACAAAUUCUGCAGUCACAGUUUCAUACUCAACAUUCUUCUUUUUUAACUCUAUCAUAGUACGCGCAGCUUUUUCCUCUUCUUUCUUUGCUUUCCCUUUCCAGAAUUCUAUCCCUCCUUUGAUGUUGCUAAUUUCUUCCUUCCAUUCUGCUGACGACUUGCCUAAACCACUAUUUUUUAUAGUGUUUCUUAAUUUCUUAUUUUCCAAAUGAAGGUCCCUUAAGUCGUUUCUCAUGAUCUCAACUUCUUUUUGAACUUUCAUGGUUUUGGAUUCUUCAAUUUGAACCCUGAUCUUCAGCUGGUAGUUUUCCUCUUGAAGAGAACUAAUAUCCCGUAACAGCUUGGCCUUUUCACGUUCAAAUUCAUGUCUUGCUACUUCCAGCUCGGAUGGCAUUUUUUUUAAGAAAGGAUUCUAGAAAGUGUAACUUGUCGGUGAGAUUUGUUGACUAUUCACUCGUCGUUUUCCCCAUAAGCCAUAAUCCUGAGUGAUAGUAUCAGCAUAAAGGGCUAACUCCAUUAGGUGAAUUUCCUUCCAAGACUUUGCAGUAUCUCAAAUUCUUUUCAUGUAGCCUUCACCCGUAAAGGCGAACUCUGAUUGUGCCAAUCCUUCAGUAGCGGGUAUGAACUGUCGUGAAGCAAAUUAUCUUUGAACCAUUAACGGAGUGUAUCCAAUUCCUCCCCAUAAUCCUAGUAAAGACACCCAAUCUUGGCUUCUGCAUUUAUAUAUCAGAAUUGAAGGAAGAAUCCAUGGUGCUCUCCAGGUUAUCUCUUCAGCGCGAAGGUUUUGAAAAACCAAAACCCAGUUCUGCUCGGUGACAUCUUUCGGCCAAUCUUUCUCAAAGUAAGCCUUUAAUGGGGCGAAUGUUUUUUGAGAACAUGUGGAAAGGUGUGUGCUCUACUUUCCAGAAAUGGCUCAGAAUCCAGACAUUAAGCAACUGCGCGCAUCCGAUAAAACGCCCUUCCCCUUUUCUGCUACAACUACUCAGAGAUCUAAAAGUCUCGGCCAAGAUAGUUGGAAUGGGGUUGAUCCCUUGACCCAACCUUUCGAAGAAAUCCACUACCGCGACUUCUACAUGCCCCAAAACCUUUGGGAAGACGACCAAUCCGUAAAUGGCCAAAGCAAACAGAUUCAUUCUCUUCGCAAUAUCUGGAUGAUUUUGAACUAAGUCUCGCAGAGAAAACCAUGGAACACAACUGACUUCAUUCUUUUUCUUUAUCUAUUUUUCAGCCCAUAUAUCAGUCAUUACGGUCAACCUCACUAGCUUUUUCUUGAAGUUCAUUGGCUUAGGCUCUUUCACAUACAUCUUGUUGAAUUGUACAUUGUCAACACGAAGCAAAGCAGCAUAUUCUUCUAUGGUCGGAGUCAUAUCUUCCUGAUUGAAAGUAAAGCACUGGUAAGCUGGGUCCCAAAAUCGAACCAUGGCUUGAAUUAACUGUUCGUCUAUGUUGAUGGUGAUCAAGUGAGCUAUAUCCCCGUACUUUUCAGUGAAAAUCCCCCUAGUAUCUGAGUCUCACUGUUUCCAAAUCUGAGUCAAGUCUUCGAGAUUAUUCUGACGAACAUUUGUAGCUACUUGCUCGGGAAGAUUAGAGAUACAUCCUUCCGUUAAACUAUCCCCUUUCGCUUUCUGAGUCUUCAAAGACCAGUCUCGAACCACGCCAUUUUUCUCGGUUACUUGUGUAAUUGACUCCUCCAUCAGAAACCCGUUUUUGGCAACCAAUCUCUAAUCAACACCUUCCUAAUCAAGAUGCCUAUGAUGCAUGAUGAAAAAUAAAAAUAAAGACAAACAACCUUGGUUAGUAAUCACAACAAAUAUAAACUGAGAAAAACUAUGGAAAUUUCAACAAAUUAAGCUACUCAGUUUAAUUCUUUUGCAUAAACAGUGUAAAUGUAAAGGAAAUGAAAAUCAAGAGGCGUUUCUCCCGCGUACUUAUUUUGGUGACUAUUAAACAGACAAAGGUUCGGCAUGGCUCUAAUUAGGUGGCUCAUAUGGUUCACUAUAUGCGAUUUCGGUUCUAGAUAGGUACUCGAAUUGUCCGUACUGUCAUCUGCUAAGAUUAGUACGAAGCCUCGGUCAUUGCCUAUCACAGGCUUACGAGUUCAGUUCGAGGGAUCACAUUUACUUAUGCCUAUGCGGAGGGACAAGUUAACUCACGAAAGCAUAAGUCAUAUGUAACCCGAAAGUAUUCACUAGCCUGUGCGGAGGGACGAGUUAACUCACGAAGGCAUAGCGUUUACUUUCACUUAAACAGACGGAGCCCAGGUAGAAAGCUUAUGUUAUGCAAAAAUGCAAGUGAUCAGUGUAUGGGGAAAAACUCACAAACCUUUUCGUUUUUAUUUAAAACUAAAAGAAGCUAAAACUAUAAAGACUUAAAGCUGAAAAGAAAAGGAUAAAACAAGUUAGAGAAAAUACUUACAACAUGAUGCAAAUGCAUGAUUUUUUGAAAACAAAAUUUGAGGAUCACGACUAAAUAUUAAUUUGAACAAGGAAAUUUGAAAUUUUUGACAACACGCGUUUAAUUCAACUCGACUCUCAAAAAUAAGUCCCCAGUGGAGUCGCCAGCUGUAGCGACGUAAAAUUUUUUCUUUGGUCGCUAAUUGAGGCGAUUUAUUGAAAAUUUGAAAAUCGACUUUCGAUUUUAUUUAAAAAGGGAGUCACCACCGAUCUUUUUUCCUAGGUGUGAUCGGACACCUAAUAAAUCCUCUUUUUUUAAAAGAAAAUUUAUUUUUUAAACAAAAAGAAGGCCGAGGUUAGGUCUACGCGAAAAUCCAGAGAAAAAAAGGGUUUGGGAGUCGGUUAUGCACGAGGAAGGUAUUAGCACCCUCGCGACGCCCAAAAUUGGUAUCUUGUUAAACAUGUGUUGUCUUAAUUUUCGAAAAUGCGAGUUCAAUGUAACAUUUAAUCAUGAUUCGAUCAAAACACGAAAAUUUUUAUAAUUUCGAUUUCUUUUGACAAGGAUGUUCCGUUUUUAACACGAGACGAUGAUAUUCACCCAACAUAGCGAUGAAAUCAACGACUUAAUGGUAAAUCGGCACGUUGCCUUAUUUAUUGAAAUUAAUAAAAAAUGAAUAAAAUAAUUCUUAAAAUAAAAAUUCAUAAAUAAAUAAACGGUGCAAACAAUGAUAUAAUGAAUGAAAAAUAUUAACAUAUAAUAUAAGAGCAUUAGGAUAAAAAUAAAAACAAUAUUUACAAUAAAAAGAAAAUAAUAAUAAAAAUAAUGAUAUGCUAAUAAUAUAAUAAGAAAAGCAAACUGAUACAGAAUGGUAAGAACAAAACUAAAAGAGUUAGAAAUACAUCGAAGCAAAUAAUAAAUACGACAAUGAUAUUAAAAACAAUAACAAUGCAUGCGAUAUUAAACGUAAUAAUAGUAUUAAACACGAAAUAAAAACAAUGAAUAUAUAUAUACAUAUAAUAAUAGUUAGUAAAGUGAUGGGAACAUGAUAUUAAAAACAAUAAUAAUGUUACCUAUAUACAUAUGUAUAUAUUAAAAUAUAAACAUAAUAAUAGUAUUAAAAAGCAUAUACAUAGUAUUAACAAUAUAUACAUAAUAUAGUUAUUAAAAAAUAUAUACAUAAAACAAUAUGUAAAAAAAAUAUAUAAAUAAUAUAGUAUUAAAAAAUAUACAUGAUAUAUAUAAAAUAUAAUAUUAAAAAGAUAUAUAUACGUAAUAUAUAUAAAAAAUGUAUACAUAAUAUAGUAUUAAAAUAUUUACAUAAUAUAUACAUAUUAGAAAUAAUAAUGUUAAAAACAACUAUCAAUAAUACUACAUAAAUAUAUACAUAUAUAUAUAUUAAAGAUAUAUACAUAUAUAAUAAAACACAUACUAAUAUUAAUAACAAAUAUAAUAGGGGUAAAAAUAGACACAAUAAUAAUAUGUAUAUAACGUGGUAUUAAAAAUAUGUGUAUAAUAUAGUAUUUAAAUAUAUAUACAUAAUAUAUAUAUUAGGAAUAAUAAUAAUAUAAAAAAACAACUAUAAAUAUAUACAUAAUAUAUAUAUAAGUAUUAAUUGAAACUAAAAAAUAAUUCUAAUAAUAGUAAAAAUAUACUAAUAAUAAUGAUAAUAACGAUAAUAGUAAAUAUAAUAAUAAAUAAUAUUAAAAAUAAAAAAUGGUAAAAAUAAUAUAAAAAAACAAAUUAAAUCUGGAAAAGGGACUAAAUUCGAAACAAAAAUAAAGUUUUGGGGCCAAUUUAAAAAGAAAUAAAGGGAAAGAGAUUAAUUUGGAUGCACGCAAAACAAAGGACUAAAAAAGCAAUUAUUCCUCCCCUCAAAACGCAACACAGUAAAAGGGACUAAAUCGCAAAGCGCUAUAUACUUUGGGCCCAAAUUAAAAGCACAAUAAAUCUAAUUGCAAAACCAUAAAAAAGCAGAGGGGCUAAAAGUGCAAUUAGCCCCUCCAAUGAAAAACACGCGGAUCCUUGGUGGAGCGGGUCAAAUCGGGUCGGGUCAGGCAAAACGACGUCAUUUUGGGGUUUAAUGGCCAACCCCAAAACGACGUCGUUUUGGGGGCUAUUUAAAUCCGAUUUCUUUUAAAAAAUUCAUUCUUCUUCUGUUCUAAAAAGAAAUUUCUCUCCUCCUCUCAUUUUCCUCUGCAGAGACCCUCAACGCCGGUGAAGACUCCGGCCAGUCACCACCGUCGGCCACCGAAGGUAAAUUUUUAAAAUUUUUUUAUUAUGUUUAUAUAUAAAUAUGUAUAUACUGUUUUUUUUUAAAAAAAAAGAAAAAAAAUAUAUAUGUAUGUAUAGUCGAAUACUGAAAAUAAAAAAGGAAAAGAGAUGAGACCUUAGCCUUUGGAAUCUGUUUUUUUUUCUCUUCAAUACUUGCUGGAUUUUCUUUGUUUUUUUAAGACUAUUAUGUGCUAAAAAUGAGAUUUAUUGUUUUAUUGCUUCCUCCAAAAAAUCUCACCUCUUUACAUGAUUUUUGAAUGGCCUUUUCAUAGCCAUCCUUUUACAAGUUGUUGUUUUUUUUUUAAUCUUUCUAUCACUUCUGUUGCAGGUGGAUGAGGUCAAUGGUGGCAGAGUUGGUGGUGGCAGGUGGAGCAGGUGGCUGACAAGGCUAGGGCGGCGGCAUGGCAAAGGCAGUGGCAAGGGUUUUCUGAUUUGUUUUGUGUAUUAAGGUUUUGGGUUGGCUUAGUGGACUUAGGGUUUUUAAUUAUUUGGGUAUUUUAAUUUGAGUUAGGGUAGGUUAGUUGGGUUUAUUUUAUUUUAUUCAAAAUUAGGCCUCAACAAUUAUGUUUAUAAUUUGAAUUAUGGUAAUACCACUGAGUAUAAAAUACUCAAUGUACGGUUAUUUCCGUAUGCAAGUUAAUAGGUGUUAAGGGUCUUGGUUCAGCAUCCAGGCGAUCCCGAUUCCAGCGCAAAACUCAAUUAUGUAUUUUUCUUUUGGUAAAAGUGGCAUGUACAUAGGUGUUAUUUUGGUCACUUUAAAAUACUAUAUGAUUUUUGUUGUAAAGAAUGAUAUUUGGUAUUUUGGUGUUUAAACUAAUGAAAUGGUAUGAAAAUUUAUAUGAUAUACAUGAUAUAAUUGGUGUUAAAUUUAGAAUGGAAUGAAUGAAAUUCUAAUUUAAUUUUUAAUGGUAAUAUAAAUGUUCAUAGAGUAAAUUAUCAAAUUAAUGUUAUAGGUAUGAUUUUAAUACGAUUAAACAUGAAAUUGCAUUGGUUGAAAUAUUGGUUUUGAAUUGGUCCCGGAUUGAAAUUGCAGGGAAGGUUAGAUAUUUAUAAAAGGGUUAUAUUGAGUUAAAAAAAAUAUCCUCGUAGCACCCGAACAAGUCCAAAUUCCCCUCUAAUAUGUAUUUUGGGCCUUAAGGGUCCAAUCAAGAGACUUUAUAAUUAUUUUAUAAUAUAAUAUGUUCGAUAAUUAUUUGAAUAUUAAUCGUAAAUUGUUUGAUUGUCCGGUAAUGCCUCGUAACCCUGUUCUAGUGACAGUUUAGGGUUAGAGGGUGUUACAGUCUCACUCAAAGAAUGAUUUUAUUAACCAUUAACAUAAUAGAACUCUUGAAUUAAGUCCAAUUUGCCCUCAGACCAGUAAAUAAUUGCAGCUUCAAAGUUGAUCCCAAUUAUUACAAUCACUCUCCUAAAACCUCAUAAUACAAUCAAUUAAACUCUUCAAAGAAUGUCUGAGAAAAGAGUGUCAAAAUACUGAGUACAUGAUUAACUUUAUGGUAAAUAAAUCUCCUAAAGUAAAUCUGAUCAACAAUUUAUCCUUUAAGAUAUCAAGAAGUUCUGAUCGAAGUAAAACUUUUAAUUCAAGUCAAAAUUGUCACCUCAAUUGGAUAACGAUAAACUCUUUCAAAUAUAGUUUUUGUUUGUUCACAAAAACAUGUCCAAUGUAUCCUCUAUUUGCUACUUAAUUGGAAAUAUUUAUAUCUUAUCCUUGUACAAGUCAAAAUUGCCAACAAAAUAGGAUAUACUUUAUAUGUAUAAAAUCUUUUAUUAAAGAGUCAAUGAAUAGUUGGCUUGGAGGGGCGUAGUUAGGGGCUGGCAGGGUUCUGGCCCCCUUAAAAUGAAAUUUUUUUAUUUAGGCCAUUUAAAAUUUUUAAAUAAAGGUAAAAUUACACUUUGUCCUUCUAAAAAUAAUAAAAUUUGAUUUAACCCUUUAAAAAUUAUAAAUUCUAUUCAAAUGGUGAAAUUACAUUUUUUUUACAAUAUAAUUUCGGCCCCCUAGAAAAAUUUUCUGACUUCGCUCUUGUUUACUUGGACAAUUCGACUUCUUAUUUUAAUUGGAUAGAACUUCUUAUUUUAAUUGGAUAGGAGAAUAUAUAUCAAUUUUAUUUUUAAUAAAAAUGUGGGAUUUUGAGAUUAUGCACUUGAUUUUUUUUUAUAAAUAUUGUUUUAAACCUAAAAUAAAAUUAAAUGAGGCCAUUGUGAUGAUAUCGUAUAAUCAGAUCGCUAGCUAAUGGGAACACCCAUAAUUUGAGGCAAUAUUGUGAGAUAGAAACGGUCUCUCCCUACACUCAAGCUCUUCCUUCCAUGCCUAAUAACUGAAGCUUUCCAUUUGUGACAUGGGACACUACUAUUAUUUCGGGUCACCAGAUGACCAUUUCUUAACCCUUUCCAUGUUCCAACAACCAAGGACCACGACCACUUCAAAAACCUACCCGCCCCCUUACACUCUCUUUUAGCCUUUGCAUCCUUCCUUCAUUUUUGAUUUUUUUUUCAACAAAAUCAAAAACCAAAAGUGGACCAAUAGUUGCAGACACAUCAUGUCUUUCCCAUGGCGUCCUUUGAUUUCAUGACUCUUUUCUUCUGUCUUCUUAUCCACAGACAUUGAUCAUUAUUAUUAUUAUUCUCGUUAGCUGUCUCUCCUCGACAACGCUUUGAUGUUUGGUACUGCAUUUUGAUGUUGUGUUGGAUGAGCAGUUGAUGUCUUUGGCCGUUGGAGCUGGUCCAAGUUCCAGUAAUAUGGAUGACAAAGCGGGCUCUGCUGAAAAAACGACCACCAACCACCGUCCAGAGAGCGAUGAUGAUAACGAAGAGGAGAAUCGCAAUUUGCAUUUGGGUCCUCAGUACACUCUCAAAGAACAGCUUGAAAAAGAUAAGGUUAAAUCUUCUUUUUUUUUUUUUUUUUGGUUUACACACACACAUAUCCAUUACAUUUUACAUGCAUGCAUGAAUGCCUAUAAUUUUACUAUCAUUAUUCUAUGUUGGUGAUCGUUGCGUGAGUGUAGGAUGAUGAGAGCUUAAGGAAAUGGAAAGAACAGCUUCUUGGAGGUGUGGAUAUUAACAACAUUGGAGGUACUUAUUAUGUUUAGUUAGAUUGUGUGUAUAUAUAUAUGAGCUAAUUUUAAAGAAUUUGCAGAAUUUGACAUGGAAAUAAUGGUCUCCAUUUUAUUACAGAAACACUUGAACCGGAAGUGAAGUUCCUUAGUGUGGCAAUCGUGUCACCAGAUAGGGAAGACAUAGUUCUUUCAAUCCCUGCAGAUGGAAAGCCCGAGGGUUUAUGGUUUACACUGAAAGAAGCUAGCCAUUAUCGCUUGAAGUUCUCUUUCCAAGUUAGCAACAACAUUGUAUCUGGUCUCAGGUACACCAACACUGUCUGGAAAACUGGCGUCAAAGGUAAACAUUAAUUCUAAACCCUCUCAAUAAGUAAUAAUAAUUCACCCCCCAAAACUGUUUCCAACAUAAUAAAAUUCAAUCCUUUUCUUUUGGGGUUUCAGUUGACAGCACAAAAGAUAUGAUUGGAACUUUUAGUCCUCAGUUAGAGCCUUAUACACAUGAAAUGCCCGAAGAGACAGCCCCUUCUGGUUUUUUGGCUAGAGGAUCAUACACUGCAAAAUCAAAGGUUUGUAUGAUAACAUACUUUUAUCCGACAUUGAUUAUGUCUAAAUUCGAGUGACAUAGUAUGUUGUAAUGGUUUCAGUUCCUUGAUGAUGAUAACAAGUGCUACUUGGAGAUCAACUAUACAUUUGAUAUCCGAAAAGAUUGGGCUGCUACUGAAUAAUAGAUCAGCUCCAAGAACCCUUCAUUCAAUGCUUCAUGUUCUUAUUAUGCUUAUAUAUAUAUAUAUAUAUUCACUUUCAGACAAUUUUCAAGCAGCUAGUUUUUUCCCAAAAUAAACGCAAGUGAUGAGAGAUGACAAGAUUUUCACUUGAUUAGCAUUUUUUGGUAGGGACAUUUUGAUAAUUAAUGAUGUCUAGAACUUUGGAUGUUGUUCAUGUUCUGUUCUUGCAUUCCAUCUAUGUGCAUAUAUAAGAAAUGAGUGAUCAGUCAUUGAUUUUUUCUUUUUGUCUUGUUUUAUAUCAUCAAACUGCUCUCUCUUUUUUUUUUUAUUACUCAUCAACAUGAUAUACUUCAACCCAAACUAAAUCUCAAUUAAAAUUUCAUUCAAUUAAAAUUUAAAAAUACAAAGAAAACCUACUUUGCCAUUAUCCUAAUAAAAAGAGAUAGGGAUGACGUGGAAUCAUAAUUUCAUACAAUCCAUUCUUUGAUCCCUAUAUAUACUAUCAAGUCAGAUAAAUGUUAUAAUUGAAAUAAAUACAAUAAUUAAUAUCUAUUUAACAUUUAAUUUAUGUUUUUAUUAAAUAAUUCAAUUAGAAAGAAAUCCAUAAAUCACACCCAUCUUGUCAAUUUUUAUGUUAGUAUUUUUUUGAAACAAAAUCUUUAAGGCGUAAAUUUUGUUGAUAUUGCAGAAGUAUGAUAACUCAUAUGAAUGACGAUCUAUUUGAAGCAACAUAUUUUAAAAAUUAGAUUAGAUCGGAUCAAGCAAUCUAAUCCUUUGAAAUAAAGAAUUUAGAUUGGGACUGCAUUGAAGACUUAUAUCGAACAAUUCUAUUUUAUCUUGGAUUUUAUUAAUAUAUUGGGUAUGUUAUUUUAAUUGCAAUUUUUUAAAGAAAAUUUAUUGUAAUUGAUCUACUAUUUUAACAAAUCUCAAAGUCUUAUAUAUUUGAAGAAAUUUGUAUGAGUUUUGUAUUGAAAGUUUAUAACACUUAUUCAUUGAGAAACUUGUUAUGGAAGGUGCAUUGAGAAUAUAAACAAGUUUAUUGUUUGGUUCACAGUUUAAGCUUUCAUGAGAAAACUUUAGAAGUGAGUGAUCUAGAUUUAGAUAUAAAAGUGAAGUUUAUAUAUCAAGCUGUGAUAGGACUUAGAUCCAUGGCGGUUGGUUUCGUUCCGGUACCAAUUGUACCAGUUGAUAUACUAUAUCAAGCUGUGAUAGGUCUUAGAUCCAUGGCGGUUGGUUUCGUUCCGGUACCAGUUGUACCAGUUGAUAUACUCCGUUUCGAACGUAAACUGGAGCAAUAUAAUAUAUGAUUCAUUAUGUCUCAAAGUUUGGCCUAUUUCACCUGUACUGACAUAUUCCGACCUGUUUUGUCUGUUGCGACCGAAAAAGACGAACUGGCUACGGUAAGAGAAAAGAAAAAGAAGGAAGAAGAGAGAAAAGAGAAUAAAAAAAACAAAAUUAAAAUCUCAUAUGGAAAAACAAAACAUCUCGGCAGAUAAGUUUUGGGAUUUUACAAGCUUAAAAAUAAUAUUAAUUUAAUCUACAAAUUUAAUUUAAAUAAGAAUUAUAUUAUCUUUUAAUAUAUAUAUUGAUAAUAACUAAAAUUGUUAAUAAAUGAAUAAAUAAAAUUUAUUUUUAUAAAAAAUAUUAUUUUAUUUAUUAUUAGUAAUAAAUAAUAGUAUGAUACCUUUCAAAAAAUAGUAUUAUAUGAUAUAUUUACUAGUACAUAUAAAAUUAAACUAAUAAUUAUACAAAAAAUAAAGGUAAAUACAGAACGGUAUACCAAAACAUACUGGUAUUAAUAUGUAUCAGUAUCAAUAGAAAAACGGUACAUCUACCAUACGGUACUGACUACCUUUCUUAAACCACUUGUUGUAUUAGGAUUAAAGACAGUGUGUAACACCCCAAACCCGGCCCAGACGUUAUGACCGGAUCCGACAUGCCACAUCGAAGCGUUCAAAACAUUUUAUAUUGUUGAUCCAGAAAAAACUUACUUAGUGUUUUAAAAGAUAAUUUCAUUAUAGGUUAAAGUGAAUGGAAGUUGUGCACCAGGUAGGAAACCGGAAAAGAGGUGGUGAGUCCAUCGGACUGCUUAAGUACCAAGCUCCCUUCGGAUCCAAUCCUAGACAUGCAUACCGCUAUUGCCACACCUUAACGUCAUGGAUAUUUCUAGGAAACUGAUUUUGAUUAAGUCAUUUUUAGGAAAAGUGAUUAAUUUUGGAAAAUACUUUCAUUGCGGAAGCUUUGCUUGUUGUCGUAUUAUUUUGAAAUCAAUUGUUGUUUUUGAAAACGCGCCCUAAAGCUUUCCAACUUCAACAGUUAAAAUAAGUAAUACUUAUCUUAGUAACACAUAUUAACACCAUAAAAAAUAAUUAAGCGGCCUUAUUACAUUUAAAAACCUAAAACUUCAAACGUAAAAAAAAGGAUGUCCAGUUCACCAGAAGAAAAUCAAACUUUCAGAACGGGUGGCCACUCCGAAUUCCCUCACAGCUCCAAGCCCACUAUGGUUGGGGAUUACCUGCGUGGAUGAAAAUAAAAGGGGUGAGUUUGGGGAAACUCAGUGUGUAAGGAAAACCCAUUCAAAACCCAAGUCAGCUCAAGCCCAUUCAGGUAACAGUGAUACUGGGCCAGAGCCCUUUUCAAAUUACAAUAAACUGGGCCUUAGCCCCUUAUUCAGAUAACAGUAUGGCCCAUAGGCCCAUUUCAAAAUACAUGCAACAUCAGUAAACAUAUGCAAGCCCAUUUGGGGAGACUACUCAAUCCACCAACCACUACACUCCACCCAUACCAGCCAUACACUCCAUGUGGGGAAUAGCUCAACCCACCCAGCCCAACACUCCACAGUUGCAGCCUUGCUGCUCAGUUAACAGUAAGUUGAGGCAAAGCCCCUUAUUCAGAUAACAGUAUGGCCCAUAGGCCCAUUUCAAAAUACAUGCAACAUCAGUAAACAUAUGCAAGCCCAUUUGGGGAGACUACUCAACCCACCAACCACUACACUCCACCCAUACCAGCCAUACACUCCAUGUGGGGAAUAGCUCAACCCACCCAGCCCAACACUCCACAGUUGCAGCCUUGCUGCUCAGUUAACAGUAAAUUGAGGCAAAGCCUCCAGUACGUGGACAAGCCAUUUUUAGUACUUCCUCCGUCAAUAUCCCAAUCCCAUGCAUCAGAUAAUAACAACAUGGCAUGCAGUAAAUAACAACAGUCAAACAUGCAUUUAAGUCAAUUUAACCCUAGGGGUAUUUCGGUAAUUUAUCUCCUAGGGGUAAAACUGUAAAUUUUCCACUUUUAAAGGUAUUUCAGUAAUUUAUCUAUUUUAGGGUUUUUCAUGCAUAUUUCUACCUUUCACGUACUACAGAAUCACGUACCGAGGGUUCUUACCAAAUUGGGCCCGUUGGCCCAUCAUUCCAAUUUUGGCCCAUUAAGCCCAAAAAUAUCGAGGGCACAGAAAUCAUGCACUUUGUAGUCCAAAUUUUGCAGCUUACCAAAAACAUUAAUCGAUUUACCUCAGGAGCAUUCGCACACUCGCAAAUCUACAAAAUACCGGUUUUUGGCAUUUCAGCUUUUCGACUUUUGCCGAUCCAGACUAAGAAAGAGGGUGUUAGUUACACACCUGUUUGCGAUGAUAUGCUGACGAGAUCCACACACGAACUGCCUACAAUUGGAUUACUAACACGUUAAUCUAACUAUUCAAAUACGAACUACGUAUUAACCCCUUACAAUAUUCGGCCAACCACACCUACAGAUCAUAGUAAGCUUAUAAGAAAUCAAUAAGCAACUUAUUAACAAUUUUUUGUCAAUGUUUACCACAUAAUCAUAAUUUCACUGCAAGCUGUCUUCCUGAGCAACAGUUACUAAAUCAUUUAUAACUGGAGCUACGAAACUCCAAAUCAAGUGCCAUUAAUUUUCCCUGAAAAUAGACUCAUAUAUCUUAUAUCCAUAAAAUUUUCAGAAUUUUUGGUUUGGCCAAUCAAUACCAGAUUUUUCUUAAAGUUUCCCAUGUUUCACUAUUUGACUAAUCUGACCACUCUUCAUUACGAAUCAAAUUUCUCAUUGUACAGAAUUCAAAAUAUGUUCUAGUUUAUUUCAUUUGAAACUAGACUCAUUAAGCUUUAAUUACAUAAUUUAUUCACCGUCUAACUCAUCUCUCACAAUCUAUGGUGAUUUUCCAAAGUCACGUUACUGCUGCUGUCCCAAGCAGAUUUAUUACCAAAUCACUCUUUCACACAUAACUUGCAUGCAUGUUAUUUAAACAUGUAUAUCACCAAUCAAUCAUCACAUAUCUAUGAUUUUACUUAAGUAUAAUCUCCAUUUCAUCAUUUUAAAGCACAACAUGUUAGCCGAUUUUUCCCUUUAACAUUUAAGGCACAUGCAUGCUCAUUUGUUUGGCUCAACUUCACCUAUUUUCCAUUUUUCAUCAAAAGAACAUGAAACAACAACCAUUUCCUUCAUUUUAAUUCAUGACUAAAUGCUCACAACACAACUAAAAACCAAAAUAUGCUUCAAGAGUUAAGGUAGAAUCAAGAAGAACUCAUGAACAUCAAAUAGAAGCAAACUACCAUGAACUUACCUUUAAUUUUCUUCCCCAAGUGACCGAACAUUCAAGAGCUUUCUCCUCUCCUUUCUCUUCUCUAACUUUAGGCUAUGAUGAACAAAGAUGGACAAAACUUUGUUCUUUUCACCCCUUUUUCUUUUAAUAAAAUUUCAUAUUUCAUCCAUUUAAUUCUUUAAUACAAAAGACAUGAAAUUCCAAUCAUGGAACAUUUACCUAACCCAUUAUCAUGAAACAUUUACCUAACCCAUUAUCAUGGAACAUUUACCUAACCCAUUGUCAUGGAACAUUUACCUAACCCAUUAUCAAUUUGUAUCAAUUUGUACCAUAAAUUAUGGAUAUCAAGUGCACAUUUUGUCUACAACAACAUGAUGGCUGGCCACUUCAUGUAAAAUGGGAGGUUUGUCAUGCAAAUCCUCCUAUUUUACACUCCUAUUUAUUUGGCCACUUCAAUUUAGCCUAUAGCAUUUUCAAACAUUUUCACAUAGGUUCUAUUUCAUAAUUUCACCCCCUUUUUCUUAUGGAACAAAAAUUAACUAAAAUUGACGGGUUCUAUCUUAAGCUUGGGCCUUCUAGAGGCCCACUAACAUAAUUAAAUCUAUGCCAACAUUCACAGAAUUCCCGAAAAUUGGGGCGUUACAUAGUGAAUUAUCUCUCUGAGUUAAGCUGUAAAUAUAAAAAAAUCAAAUCGCGUAAACAACUCAAUUAUGUUUUUCUUAUUUCAAAUAUAUAUUCAUAUAUAAUCUUUUAUGUUAAAACUUAUAGCAAAUAAUUACAAAUAAAAUAAGUUAAACAAAAUAAAGUGCUAGCUCUAGUGGUCACUGAAAGUGGAACGAGAACAAAUAAAAACUUUAAUUACUACAUGUAAUUAAAUAACAUGUGCCUUAGUAAAGAAAAACUUUGCUAACUAUGAGGUAUGCUAUUGUGGCUGCUCACCUCAUCUUUUAAUUAGGGUGAGCAAAAUUUGUUUUAAUUUGAAAAAUUAGAUAAAAAAAUUCAAAUUUUAAAUUAAAUAGUUUGAGUUAUUCAAGUUAUUCAGAUCAAUUCGAAUAAAAAAUAAAAUUGUUCAGUUCAACUUGAAUAUGAAUUACACAAUUCAAGUUAUUCGAAAAUUCGAAUAAGAAAAGACAAAACUACGUCGUUUUGAUAAAUGUUUAUCCAUUAAGUUAAAAGUUAAAAAUCAUUAUGUUGUUUAUGUAGUUAAAUAAUCUUCUACUUCGUCUACUAGUUAAACAAUCGGUCUAUAUAAACGCAACAUUGAGUAUAAAUAAUAGAAUUCGUUAACUCAUCUCGAAAUUUUUUCAUUCGAUUCGAUUUGAAAAAAAAUUCAAAUUUAGUUCAGUUGCUAAAAUAAGAUUCACCAACUCGACUAACUCGAAAUUUUUUUACUUGAUUUGACUCAACUUGAUCGAAUACUCACCCCCUACUCUUAACCAUGUCAUUUGAGGUUUGAUUCCCGCUUAUAAGAAUGAAACACAUUUCAUGAUUAACCAUUUAUCUCUUUAAAAAACACUCGUAAUAAAUAAAUUAAUCAUUAUUAUCGACAAUAAAUACCCUAUUUAUGAAAACAAACUCGAGCCUUGAUAAAGAAUUAAAGUGAUUGAGUAUACUGUGGUUCAAAUGAAAGACAAUUGCAGAAGCAAAGCCUUUGUGUUUGGGCUGCCUUAAUUGUUUCUUAGGAAAGCAGAAAUGUAUAUACAUGUGUGUGAUAGAGGGCAUGUCAUUGAAAAAGAUAUAUUAUAGCACCCAAAGGCAUCCCACGCAUUUCACAAGUAUUGAUAUCAUUGUGGAGCGCACAAGUGUCGUUUUAGUUUUUACUCAUCAAUAAAUUUACAUGAUAUUAUAAAUAUGAUAAUAUAUUUAUUUUAAAAGAUUUUAAAAAUAAUAAUAUUUAAUAUUUAACUUAACGGAUUUAAUUAUUAUUAUUUAGAUAAAAUUAAAAUUUUAAAAUUUUAAAAAAUAUAAUAAUUAAAAAUAACAUAUCUUUCGAGUUAAAUGAGACCAUUUGGGUUUAACAAAUUUGUAAAAAUAAUUUAGUUUAAUUAAUAAAUUUAUAUAAAAUUUAUAUUUUGUUCAACACGUUGCAUCUUUGAAUUUAGAUAAAAACAAUAGAAAAAUUAGAAUAUAAUUCAACUUGAUUCAAUUCAUAAAUACAAUUACUUUAUUGUACUAUUUUUUGGAUAUGGAUUAGUUGUGAAAUGUAACCAUUUAUAUGAAAAUAUUAGUUUGCAGGAAGAGAGUGUGGAUAAUCAAAUUAAUUAGUUAGAUAACCUAUGGGUGCUAAUUAAAUUAUAAUCCAAGGAUUUUGAUUAAUUUGUGCAAAAAUUAAAUCAAAUGUUAAGACAACGAGUUUGAUGUUAAUCUUGCACCUAAUUUCUCUUUUCAUUUCUUAUUUUCCACUCCAAUAUUUUGCUUCUUUUUUCCAUUAAGCUUUAUUUUGAGUUUUCUUCUUUUAAUUAAUUUUUUUAAAAAAAUUAUAAAAGUUAAUUUAAAUAUAUUAAUUAGUUAUUGGGGUAGUGACAAAUGACCGGUGCUUAAGUCUUUAUUAACAUAAGGAAUAAAUUAAAAAAAUUUCAUUUAUAUCUAUUUUAUUUUAGUACAAUACAUUAAACACUCAAAUAUUUAUUACAUGCAUUCAAAUUCAACUAAACACUUAUUUCUUUUGAACAAUCUCAUUUUUUAUCAUAUCUGCUCUUUUUGACACAAUGCCUAAAACUACUCAAAGUCCAUAAUAAGAGGAUAAUGCGCUUCUGCACACUCAAAACCACGUCUUUCUACAUUAACUACAAUACUCAUGCCAAUCAAACUAAAACUCAACCGGCAAUAUAACUAAUCACUUAAGAAGGUGCAAAUAAAAAAAUUCCCUAGUUUAGAUCUCAAUCGUUUUUAAACUUUUUUUUAUUUACAUGUGCUAUUUGUAUAGUAUUAAAGCAUUAAACAAUUUCUUAAACCAUAUAGAAACAUUCAAUAAUAUUUAAAUUAAUUGUGAAUGGAAUUGGAUAAUAGAUUUGUACAAGUCUAGGGAUCAGUCUCAAAACAGGUGGAGUCCACUCUCCACUCUUUGAUUUUGGUUUAAGCUUUUAGAUCAUGAUAAUCAGAUGAAAGUAAAAUUUAUUUAUGUUUAAUACAUGGUGAAUAUGUAUAUGAAUCUAUUAAAGAAAUUUUUGAAAACCUUAAAAUUUUGAUGUAAAUGAGAUAUUUAUAUUCAUAAGUUAUUUGAGUUUGAUUAAAAACACUCAAACUCGAUUGAUAAUUAUUGAGACGAGUUCGAGCAUGUCAACUCUCAAGAUAUUUGUCGAAUUGAAUUUGAGCACUGUAAUACUUGAUUUGAAUAACUUGUGAACUUAACCAAACUUUUUAUUUGAAUAUCUUUUAUAUUAUAAAGUUACAAUCUUACCCUUAAGUAUGAACAAGCUUGAUUGAGCUUUAAUUCAAGAAUGAGUAUGGAAAUUGAUAAAUGAGCUUAUUCGAGUUUGAUUAUGUCUUGAAUUGAGCUUGAAUAUAAAAUUCGACAUUCGAUGGAGCUCAAGUCGAGUAUUGAGACCCAAAUUUUUAGUUGAGCUUGAGCUUGUCAAUAUUAAGGUUUAACUCAACUCGAUUACACCCUUAAGCGUGGUCAGACAAUAGGUAAAGACAUUGGCUCCUCUUGAUUAAAUGAUAUAUAUACUAUUUUUUCUAGUCUCAUUUAAAAUUAAUAUUGCAAUUUAAUCCUUUUUAACCUUUUACUCAAAUGGAAAAAAAUAUUAAGUCAAUUUAAAUAAUUUUACCCCAAAAUUUAUAGUUUUAACCCUUGAAUUUUUAAAAAUUUUCUCAAUCUUCCAACACAAAAUUCCUAGGUUUGCCAUUUCUCUUAACCCUAGACCGCUAACUAAUUAUACUCUUCAUAAGACAUUAUACGUAUUAUUCCACAUGAACAUAUAAAUUUUAAAAAACUAUAAUAAUAUUGGUGUCAACUAAACUUAUAACCCAUAAACUUUGUUAGUGACAAUUACACUGUUCAUAUACAAUUCUAGUUGCAACUCAAUUUGCCAUAUUUGAACGGAACCUUUUGAUUAAAAAAAACUUUGAAUUUUUUAAUGCGCAUACUUGGAGGAUUUCUAGCAAUACUAUAUUGAAUUAAACUGUGAAUAAAAUCAAGCCAAGCAAAGAUUCUAUGAAUACUUUCAAGGGUCAAAGUUUACUUAUUUAAAGAGAUUUGAAUUCUAAAAAAAUAUCCGCUAAUUCUAUUUCAUAUUAAAGAUUUUAUCGAGCCAACUUUAAAGAGAUAGAUCUUCACGUCAAUUAUAAUGGUCGUUAUAAUUUUAUGUCAAGAUUGAAAACGAUUAUUUUGUUCGUGUAAGGAACUUACUUUAAUAAAUAUUUUAUUGUAAAUCAACGAUUUUCUAACUUUUCUAGGGAAAAAGUAUCGGUGAUUGAGUUGAAAAUAAAUCAUAUUAUGUACAAAUUAAUUUAUAAUGAAUUACUCUUUAAUUUCCAUAACUAUAAUUUUUUUUCGGAACUGUAUAACCAAAUUACGGUAUCCUAUUGAAAAGGAUACGGAGAAGUGUCCCAAAGCAUUAGAAAACUUCUCAAGUAGAAAUGUGAAUAAGAAAGGCUACCAUAUAUGGUCCUUUUUCCUUGAAUGAUUGUUAAGCAAAUGCUUUCAUUAUUUUUAUUGUUAUUUUCACAAACAAGUAUCAUCCCCAUCUCAUUCAAUCCACAAUAAUAAAGACAAUUAAGGGUGAGUGUGAUCGAAUUGAGUGAAAAAUUUUGAGUUAAUUGAAUUGACGAGUCCUAUUUUAUCAUUCUAGCUCGAUUUAAAAUUUUUUCGAAAUGAAAUUUGAGUUAAGUCGAAUCGAAUGAAAUGUUCGAGUUAAAUUAAAACAUUAAACAUGUCGAAUUAAAAUAUUGUUACAAUAUAACUAAUUCAAUGUUGAAGCACAUAAAUUUGAAACCAUAUAUAUUUGAAAACUUUUUCAAAGAAAAAUAAAAAAUUACUUUAGUAUGAUAAACUUAAAAAAUUAAUUAAUUAAUUUAAGUUUCAAAAAUUAUUAUUCUAGAAAAUUUAUUUUUUAACUUUUUUAUAUAUUUUUUAGAAUUUUUUUCUGAAAUUUUUAUAAUUUUUUAAAAAAUAUAAAUUUUGGAAUUUUUAUAAAUAUUUUAAAAUUUUAAAAUUAUUUUGAAUUAUUUUAUAAUUUUUGUUAAAGAGAGAGACCAAUUUACUUAUUUUCAAACUUGACAAUGACCAAAAGGGUAUUUAUGCCAAUCUAUUAUUCAAAUUAUUCGAAUUGUAAAAUUCAACUCGACUUGAAUAACUCGAUUCAAUUAACUCAAAAUUCAAAAGAAAAUUUAAUUUUUUCAAAUCAAAUAAAAUUUUACCCACCCCUAAAACACCCAUAUCUAAUCCUAUAUAUGGUUUUCAAAUAUUUUCUUUUAAUCAUGGUUAGUUUUUUUGUUAAUUUUCUAUUCCUACUUUUUACCUUAAACUUCACAUCCAUUUAAUCACCAACAAUUGGUAUAACCCCACACGUUGUUUUCUUUCUGUUUAUAUCUUACAACUUACAACCAAAACAUCCACACUACACACACAUAUAUAUAUUCAUUCCAAUCUGCUAAAUUGGUAUCCAAAACUACUCAACUUUCUCUCUGAAUUCCUACAAGUUAGGUUAGUGUUUUCCAUUUGCAUUUUUGUGUUAAAAGUUGUUUCUCUUGAGAGUUCUAAAUGCAUGUCUAUGUUUUGAAAUGGGGUUUACUUUUUGUCUUUUGUUCAUAAUGUAAAUUUAUUGGAUAUUUUGCUGUUUAUCUGCAAUGUAAUUGCCAAUGAUUUGAUUCUUGUAGGAGUUUGGAGAGUGGUCACCGCUGAAGCAAAACAAUUUUCUUGGGGGAAAAGAAAAUGGAGUUUUCCAUGAUUUUUAUGAUUAGCUUCUCUGUAUUGAUUUUGUGCUCCUCACUGGCAUAUGGUCAAGUUGCAAUGAGCACAAGCCCGACACCGUCACCCUCACCAGCACCGGCACCGACACCGGCAUACACAAAUAUCAAAGACUUACUCUCUGUGGCAGGUCCAUAUCACAAGUUCCUGGGCUACCUCGAGUCGACUAAAUUAAUCGACACGUUCCAAAUCCAAGCCAACAACACGGUUGAAGGCAUUACGAUUUUCGUACCGAAAGACAGCGCAUUCAAGGCUCUUAAGAAGCCUUCAUUGUCAAAUCUAACUGAUGAUCAGUUCAAAUCAGUGCUCCUUUACCAUGCCUUGCCACGAUACUAUGCCCUUGCGGACUUCAAUGACCUAAGUGAGAAAGGCCUUAUUAGUACACUUGCUGGUGGCCAAUACACUUUGCAAUUCAACGAUGAGUCUGGUACCGUCCGCCUCGAUUCCGGAUGGAGCAAAACAAAAGUCACUAGCGCAGUACAUACGUCCAAGCCAGUCGCAGUCUAUCAAAUCGAUAAGGUCCUUCUUCCGGAGGCCAUUUUCGGGACCGACAUACCUCCGACACCUGCACCUGCCCCGGCUCUUGGUAUUGGCCCAUCAGCUGACACUCCAUCAGCAGCAAAAUCCGAAGAAACUGGUUCCUCAUCAAAGCCUUCGUUUUCGGGUUCAUCAUCUCCUAGGAUCAUGAUGAACUCGGGCAUUUGGACUCAGCUGGUUUUGGCAUUCUUAGGUGGAUGGCUGGUUCUCUUUUUCUGAGACGUUAUAAUUUUAUGUUGAAAGGGGGGCACAUAUGGGGUUCUCAAUUUUCUGUGAUUUUUAGACCCCAUUUUCUUUCAUAUAUAUGUUACUGUGUGUUAUUAUAAAAAGAAUGUUAUUGUGUGUUAAGAAUAUGGUUGUGUUAUAAUUACCAUUUCAAUUUUAAUGGAGUUUUGCCUUAAAUCUCUGUUUUUCACUUGUUCAUACUUGUUUCUAAGUUUGGCCCCAUCUAUAACUAUUUGGCGAGUGAGAGCUUAGGAAAGAAAACUCCUAGCAGGAGGCGAAGCAGAAAAAACUUUUAGAAAAUUAAAUUAUCAAUUUUUUUUUAAGGUUAAAAUGUAACC